This is a long non-coding RNA of Dicentrarchus labrax (European seabass), 223 nucleotides long. RefSeq lists it as uncharacterized. The transcript has 2 exons. The record is from RefSeq and is a predicted model, not a curated record. Lineage: Eukaryota; Metazoa; Chordata; Actinopteri; Moronidae.
CUUGUGACAGGUCUUCGAGCAACAUUGUGGACCGUACAGUGGAAUUCUUCUAUUGGCUGUUGCUGGUGUCUCUCUCAGUGUCAACGUCUUGUACACAAUCUACGUGGUGUUCCUUUGUAAAAGAAGAAAGAGUGUGAAGCCAAAAGAAGAGGAGAUGACUUACAUGUCUUUGGAUCGUAGAGACACAUCUCCAGAGUAUGAUGUCAUUGCCCAAACUCCAAAA